GAAUGGAAGUGAGAAUGAGAGUGGAGAUGGGAUUGAGAGGGAAGAUGAGAGGAGAGGAUGGGAGGGAGGAGUAACAAAAGUGAAAACAAAAACUAAAAACUGAAAUCUAUUUCAAAUUGUUUUCACUUUCAAGAUUUUGUUUUCACUUUUGUUACUCCUCCCUCUCAUCUUCCCCUCUCACCCUCUCUCUCAAUCUCAUCCUCACUCCCAUUCU
Molecule: small nucleolar RNA, 214 nt
Filed under: Prunus dulcis (almond)
Lineage: Eukaryota; Viridiplantae; Streptophyta; Magnoliopsida; Rosales; Rosaceae
Description: sRNA ncRNA
Source: RNAcentral